GCAUAUUAUAUGACUAAAACAUGAUACAAAAACUAACAGUUUGAGAGAGACUAAAACUCAAUGAAGCUACCAACAGUAAAAUUUGUUUCUUUUAAACACUGAAGGAAUUGUAAUGUCGUGUUUAUCUUUCAGGAGGAGCCCACCUGUCUCUGUGCGAAGUAAAUAUGCUUUUGGCAUCAUCUCUCUAUUCCCCAGCCUCAGAGAUCCAUACUCAGACAAUGGAUAUGUAAGUUUGUAAAUGAAAAGCAUGGAGUAUUAAUAUGGUCUGAACCUACUCUACAAUUUAAUGUUUUUAAUAUUACAUGAACACUUCUAUGAGCCACAGAGUGGAUCUGGCUACUUGGCCUGGAGGAUAAAGACUGUUCAGCGCAACACUGCAGCUCAGUCCCAGAGGUCCUCCAUCUGCACACCCUAUCAAGAUAGUCCAAAGAGAAAGAGGGAGGUUCCCUGCACUGAUAAGCAACUGCUUGGCGAGCACUGUCAUGAAGCAAUAUCCUUUUUGAAACAUUCAACUGAUGAAUCGGCAAUCAAAGAGAAGAUGAGGGCCACUUUUCAGUACCGCCAAACACUGGUUCAAGAUCAGCAAUGCUCUUCGACAGUUUUGGAUGUCUUCCCACGAUUCCUCGACAUCACUGGCUUGAUUGACCAAGACUUCACCAUGAUGUUUGGAGAGGAAGUGUCGGGCAGAUUUUUGGCAAAAUGGCCAAUUUUUAUCAACCCGAGGAUCCUGACAGACUGCAAAAAACUGACUUCUAAUUAGCACAUUGAAGACCUCUUGUCUGUGCAGCACAACUCAGGUGGGCUGGGACAGUGACCUGUCAAGCAUUCUACUGUUGGUUCACUUGCUUCCCCCUACCUCCAAAGGCCACAAGAAGGGUGCUAAAAUCAGCGCAUGUCAAGCUGAGGACCAUGUUGUGAGAUAUUUGCAGAUUGGAGCCAGUGUUGAAACCUUCCUUGCUUGUGUGGAGCCGGGACAGCCCUUCCUCCUGUGUGUUGGUGAAAAGAAGAACAGCAUCCAAAGAUACUAUGUCGUCACUGAGCACAAGGCCAUCCCUUGCAAGGCACAGACAUCCUUGGCAGCUUUCGAUGAGCUCUUCAAAGCACACUUCAUCUUCAGUGUCAACUACCAUGAAUCCCUCUUCAACUUCUGUACGUUCAUCCAAACCACAGUUUUUAACAUUGAUGUGGGAAGUGCCAAGGAAAGUCCCAGAGUCAAGGAGCUAAGAGCGAGGUUUUUGCGCGACGCUUGAGGUGACAAAUAUUCUUGGAUGCCAAUAUGUUUCUUCGUUAUGUCUGUAAGGCACACCACAAAAGUUCUGCAUUGCUUUGUCAGCAUUUAAGACUCCACCACGGUCUAUAUCCUGGAAAGACUACAUUUGAAAUGUGGACAGCCGGGAUGUUGUUUAUCAUUUUGCACCUAUUCAGGUUUCAAGAAGCAUCUUGUUCAGUUCCAUAGAGAUGUUGAUUUGACUAAUACUGCUGACGGUUUGGACACUUAGAAUGAAGUUGGUGAGCCCUCAACUUCACAGGCAGUCAGUAGAGUCUCCAAUAACUACUGAGCUCUCUGUUGACGAUAAUCUUGUGUGGACCAAACGCAAUUCAGUCAUGGUGUCUUGUGAGAAAUGCUCCUCUUAUUUUUGGUGAUCUAUUGGAAAGAAAUAACUGUUGCUGGAAUUUGCUCCUCCUCUUGAUUCAUAUUGUGAAUAUUGUGUUUUCACCUAUUGUAACUAACGGUAUGACAUAUUAUUUGAAGUACCUGAUUAAGGACCACCACAAGCUAUUUAAGUCUUUUUUUUUACAGAAAUGCUUGAUUCUAAAGCAUCAUUUUAUGCUACAUUACCCACGUUGUAUUAGAAAAAUAGGUCCACUCCUUCACGUAAGGUGCAUGAGGUUUGAGGCCAAACAUAAUUUUUUUAAAAGGUUCACAAAAGCAUUGGUGAAACAACACCAAAGACAGUUAGCUUACCACUGGGAGAAUUUUGAUUUUCAGAGAUUUGAGUUUGGUCCAGUGAAAAAAAUUAUUGAUAGCUUGGAAGGAGGUGAUGUUUUAAGUUCUGUUUUUAAUGUAAAUGCAUACUGUGAAGUGUCAAACACUAAUUGGGUGAAGAACUAUGGAACAGAAUAUCAGAUUGGUAUGUUUGUUUGUACUGGAACAAAUAAUGAAGUUCCUAUUUUCAGGAAGGUCACCAACAUCAUUAUACAUGAUGAGCAAGCUUUUAUUUUGACUUGCAGAGUGGAAACUCUUUAUUUUGAUGGUCAUUUCAAUGCAUACUGUAUCAAUGAGAGAGCAGAUUCAUUUUCUGUUUUUCCAAUUAAGGAGUUGACUUAUUACAGACCCUAUGACAAACAGUUUUCUAAUGAGAUGUGUGAAAAAACGUACUUUGUGCCACAUUGUCAUAUUGUGUGACCUGUGUUGUGGUUAUUGCAAAGCCAAUGCUGUUUUUAAUGUGGUGUGCUUGUUUGAAAUACAGGUUGAUU
Centropristis striata (black sea bass) is the source of this 2478-nucleotide long non-coding RNA. RefSeq lists it as uncharacterized. The record is from RefSeq and is a predicted model, not a curated record. The transcript has 4 exons. Lineage: Eukaryota; Metazoa; Chordata; Actinopteri; Perciformes; Serranidae.